UCAAAGGCUCUUUUCAGAGCCACCCACUAAUUCUUUUAAAAGUGCU
RNAcentral lists this non-coding RNA (46 nucleotides) under Marmota monax (woodchuck). It matches the Rfam family "Histone 3' UTR stem-loop". From Rfam's summary of the family: The mRNAs of metazoan histone genes lack a poly-A tail. Lineage: Eukaryota; Metazoa; Chordata; Mammalia; Rodentia; Sciuridae. The record is from RNAcentral.